RNAcentral lists this transfer RNA (72 nucleotides) under Ovis aries (sheep). It matches the Rfam family "tRNA". From Rfam's summary of the family: Transfer RNA (tRNA) molecules are approximately 80 nucleotides in length. The record is from Rfam by way of RNAcentral. Lineage: Eukaryota; Metazoa; Chordata; Mammalia; Artiodactyla; Bovidae.
UCCCUGGUGGCUCAGAUGGUAAAGCGUCUGCCUGCAAUGCGGGAGACCCGGGUUCGAUUCCUGGGUCGGGAU